Molecule: long non-coding RNA, 567 nt
Organism: Apis dorsata (giant honeybee)
Lineage: Eukaryota; Metazoa; Arthropoda; Insecta; Hymenoptera; Apidae
Exons: 3
Source: RefSeq, a predicted model, not a curated record
UUCUAUUCCCGAUCUUCUCCUUCUACCUCUUACGCUACACCUCCGGUUAUUUAAAGUACACGUCAGGCCUGUAGGAAAGUUUCGCAUCGAGGCGAAAGGGGACGACACACGACGACGUCGACGUCGUGAUGACGAAGGCGAGGGGUUCGAGUUGGUUGACCCCUGCGCCUGUCGACCCUCUCGUGUGUCGGAUAUCUUGAAAAUCUCGUGGGUCAGGGCGUGGUGGCGAGCCGGCCCGCAAUCAGGUUGACCUGGCAUGCCACGAACUUCCUCUUCCUCCCCCCCUCUCCUCCCCCCAUCGCUCGGUCGUCCGUCGCUCGUUCAUUCACUUCGCCGUACGCAUUCACCACCACCGAGACUUACCCCCUCCUCCCUCCUCUCACGCUCUGCCAUUCCGAUUAGCUGCAAAUAAUACCCGUAACAAUAGCCGUUGCUCCAUACAUCCUCGUUCUCCUCGCAACUUGUACCCUCUGUUCAUAAACCCGCGCGCUCGCGUUCUUAACGCGUGUACACGUACCCGCGUGUUUAUCGCGGCCAUGUACGGCUGGAUGUGUAUGUAUCUGUGUG